CUGGCUCUAACAAGAGCGUAAUCGAUAACUGCUCAGAGGUGCCCAAGAUGUCACAAAGGAUCUUGCCUAGCGUGCUGCAAGGGAAGAUCAUAAGCUGCAAAGGGAAAGUUCACUCUUGUCCUGAUGCUUUCAUGCUCUACCUGUGACUUGUACUGUGCCUACUGGUGAAUCUGUAGGUGCUUUUUUCUUUAUCAGUGAAAGCCAAGGCCUGCCAGGG
Molecule: long non-coding RNA, 217 nt
Filed under: Coturnix japonica (Japanese quail)
Lineage: Eukaryota; Metazoa; Chordata; Aves; Galliformes; Phasianidae
Description: lncRNA (ENSCJPG00005016543.1)
Source: RNAcentral